Molecule: long non-coding RNA, 2307 nt
Organism: Passer domesticus (house sparrow)
Lineage: Eukaryota; Metazoa; Chordata; Aves; Passeriformes; Passeridae
Exons: 2
Source: RefSeq, a predicted model, not a curated record
CUGGGACCGGCCGCUUCUCUGCCUCCCUCAGCCCUGGCUGACAGCAGCGCCUGCACUGCUGGAGCCUCGGAGCCGGCAAGCUUGCAAACCUGAUCAACAUGGAGGGAGAUUUAAUCUGUGAAACAGAGUCCAACAAGCUCUUAGUGAGUUAGAAACACAAAUUCCUGGUCAGCAGAAUUGUUAACCCUUGUUAAGGUUUGGGGCUGGACAUGUUCCAAUGUUCUCAGCCCUGCGGGAGGUGAACAGAGCUCGGGAGAAGGAUUUCCAUCGAUACACGAGGAAUGCAGAAUUCGGGGGGCACGAGGACAUUGGUCAGAACCCCCAAGAUAAGGCAGAAAGGAACCAAGGCAGCUCAGUGACUGUGGAACCAGCUCCGAGUGGGCCCAGGGGAAUUGCGGCAGGGGCGGGUCAGGAGCACCGAGCCCUGGAGCAGCGCACAGGAAAGCAGCGAGCCUCGGGAGGAGAGAGAGCAUGGCAGGGAUGAGCAGAAUGAGACACUCAUUAACCAACAGAAGAGAGAAUACUAAUAAAUAAGAGAACUAUGUAACAUGUAGCCAAUGAACAUUCAUGUGUUUGUUUGCUAAAAUAUAUGAAUAGGGAAAAGUAUGGAUAGUUGGGCUGCUUGAUUUGUGGAACACCACUGAGCACAAGGCUUGGCAACUCUGAAAUAGACAAUCAAUGUCUCUCUCAAGUGUGUAUUUACUGGCUGUUGCACAGUAAUGGAUUCAAUUUGUCUGGACAACAGUGCCAUGAUCAGAAUUUAUGAUCAAAACGGGCAUUUCUCUCUGUAUGGACUUUUGAGGCAUUUUCAGGCAGACUGAGUGUCUCUGCCCAAAAUAAUUAAAAACAUUUAUUUUUUAUUAUCACUGCGAAUCCCUUGCCAUGUCAGUUUUUUGCACUCUGAGAUCAAUUAACAAACCACCACAAUACCUGUUCAUAAGGUUGGAUCGUGACAACGUGAGGCAGAAGCCAUAAAGGUACCUGCAGUCAGGAAAAUCCGGUAGGAUAUGUUUUGCAGAGAUGUUGCACAUUAUUGCAGUUAUUCCUGCUUAGUAUGGAGACAAGAACAUGUGAAAUCUGUUGUGCCUCUGUGCUUCUGUUAUGAAGAUAUUUCCAUAUAGGAUCAGCAUUGGUUGGACUUUGACAGUGUACAAAAAAGGAGAAAUAUUCCACGCCUUAAAAGGUUUCAACCAAUAUUUCUGGCACUAAUUUCAACAACAAAAGAGAGGUCCUGAAAUACCUGCAUCAUUCACACUGGUUUGUUAGUCCAUACAAAGUCCGUUAUCUUUUUAAUCUGCCCCUCUUCAGUAACUUUAGUUCUCUGUAUAUCUGCUGGAAUGAUGUACACAGGAGUGCAUUAUUACAUGGAGUGGUUUACAUCUUGCAGGUGACAUACUACAAAACAGUGCUUCCUCUUUUGUUUCCCAUACACAGCAUCUCCAGCAAAGUUCAUUUUUCAGGCUUUGUGUUUGCUGUGCCACAGUAAAUACUUCCUUUUGCUGUCAUGCCACUAACCAUUGCUCGAUUUCAGGAACAUUCUGUUUCCCAAAACUAAAAGCAAAAAUUAAAGAGCAAAUCCUGUUCUUGCUCUCUACUGCACUGCUUAAUCUGGACAAUCCAUAAUUGCAAGAAUUAAUAUUUCAGGCUUAGUUCCAGAAUAUAGUUCCCAUACCUAGCAGCCAAGUGUGUAUAGUUUUAAAGGUUAAAAAAAAAAAAAAAGUAAUAAAAAAUGGUGUAUGAAGGCUGGAAAACUCCUAGAGAACCAGGUGCCUCAUUCCCGCUUUUCUGCCCCACUUCCCCUAGUGUUCCUACUAAAUUCCUUCUAUCCCCUUGGCCGUCUUGGCCCCUGUUUUAUUGAAGCUUUUUCUCUUGCACAGUUGUCUGUUAACUACAUGCAUGUCCUUUUUGUCCUUUUUUUCUUAAUCCCUUCUUCACUUUAGCACCUUUUUUUUUGUUUUCCCCCAAUGCCAGGAGGAGAUUCCCAGUUGAGUUUUUCCCUUAGAAGUCUCAUGACUCUCAGAAAUCUCUGUAGCUGUGGGAGAAGGAUGACCACUUUCAGCUCCUGAAGUUCCACUGGCUGCAUGAGAAUCUCAGUAUAUCAAUAUACAUAUAUAUGUAUGUGACCUCAGUGUGUCAAUAUACAUAUAUAUGUAUAUAAUCUCAAUAUGUCAAUAUAUAUACAAACACCAUCACAUUUUUGUGUUUGCAGGGAAAACCUUGAGAAUUUAAAAGUUGAAAUUUCUGUGGUCAACCAAGAACUGUCGUCAGUCUGUUUUAAAAUAAAAUACUAAAAAACACAAAAAAGUA